This is a long non-coding RNA of Tupaia belangeri chinensis (Chinese tree shrew), 591 nucleotides long. RefSeq lists it as uncharacterized. The transcript is spliced from 3 exons. The record is from RefSeq and is a predicted model, not a curated record. Lineage: Eukaryota; Metazoa; Chordata; Mammalia; Scandentia; Tupaiidae.
UAAUUAUGGGAAUUGAUCAAAUCUGCCUCUCAAGGUCGUCUACAGUUCUGAAGACAGAUGACUCUGACAACUGUCAAUCCCAAACUCCCACGGGGAGGACCGUGGUUUAGAUACUGCUGUGCAGAACCACUUUUCUGAGACUUAGAUGAUGAUGUGAGCAACUCAAAGAUUCAACUCUUCAAGUUUCUGCAGGGAUGAAAAUUUGAGACAGCACAAUUUCUAACUACUGACUUACAAUACAGGAUCCUUCAACUUUAUAAUUUUCACAAAGCCUGCAUGAAUGAAGAAUAAAUAAUGAAGAAUAAAUGAAGAUUAAAGGGAUAGAAGGGAAAAAGUCUCUAAGGAGAGGUAGGUCAUGCAAUUUAAAAUAAGAUCUUAUUGAUCUAACCAAGACAGACAGAAUAGUAAGGAAAAUAUAGUUACUAAAUUAUAAUCUCAUAAUUGUCAUCACCUACACAGAGAAGGUAAUUCUUUUAUUUUUAAAUUUAUUUAUUAUUAUCAUAAUCUUGUUUAUAUUACAUUGAAUCACAUAUAACUUUACAGUGUAUUCCAUUGCUUUUUCAAAAGGGAAUGCCAUGCAUGUCAGUCAAU